UACGUAGGUGACCAGCGUUGUCCGGAUUUACUGGGCGUAAAGAGCGCGCAGGCGGUCGUUCAAGUCGAGUGUGAAAGCCCCCGGCUCAACUGGGGAGGGUCACUCGAUACUGAUCGACUUGAAGGCAGGAGAGGGAAGCGGAAUUCCCGGUGUAGUGGUGAAAUGCGUAGAUAUUGGGAGGAACACCAGUGGCGAAGGCGGCUCACUGGACUGGUACUGACGCUGAGGCGCGAAAGCGUGGGGAGCAAACGGG
RNAcentral lists this ribosomal RNA (253 nucleotides) under uncultured bacterium. Its description in RNAcentral is "partial 16S ribosomal RNA". It matches the Rfam family "Bacterial small subunit ribosomal RNA", at positions 524 to 776 of the family's 1533-position model. The record is from RNAcentral.